UGUAAUAAAUAAGUAAAUAGGAUCUCCGGCAAUCCACAACAGUGGGCUCAAAGUUGAUCCAUGAUGAAGUUGUUUUUAGUGUUAUUAGGCAUAGGCAUAGGCAUAGCCUCAUGUGCAGUGCCUAAAGAUCAGAAGACUAGAGACUUUCACGUUGAAGCAGAUGACAAUGGCGAUUGGACUCUCAAUGUUAUCACUGAUGGUGUCACCAGUGUCCUCGGGACUAUAGGCCGUGGGGUCCCUAAGGACAAAGUGACCUUCGAGAUGAGCGAGAGUCGGGACGAAGCCAGUGGUGGGUACAGACUGUCCAUCAGGUGGGACGGAC
This is a long non-coding RNA of Plodia interpunctella (Indianmeal moth), 322 nucleotides long. RefSeq lists it as uncharacterized. The transcript is spliced from 3 exons. NCBI's taxonomy places the organism in Eukaryota, Metazoa, Arthropoda, Insecta, Lepidoptera, Pyralidae. The record is from RefSeq and is a predicted model, not a curated record.